GGAACCUAAGAGCUGCCCUGGUUUCAUCUACAGAUGUUCAGUCCCAUUGGGUCGUAUUAAGAUGCCUCCUUCUGAAUUUCAUGCAUUUCUUGAGGAUGUGGCUUCUGAGUAUCACGGGGAUACGUAUCACCUCAUUUCAAAGAACUGUAACCAUUUUACAGAUGACAUAGCACAGAGAUUAACAGGGAAAGGGAUACCUGGAUGGGUGAAUCGGCUUGCCAGGGUUGGUGCUUUCUGCAGUUGUCUUCUUCCUGAGAGCCUCCAAGCGACAACUGUUAAACAGCUUCCUGAGUAUCACCAUUGUACAGAAGAAGAUGGAAGUGGAUCAAUGACAUCUACAACGCCCCAUGAACC
This 354-nucleotide unclassified non-coding RNA is filed under the name Hevea brasiliensis (rubber tree). Lineage: Eukaryota; Viridiplantae; Streptophyta; Magnoliopsida; Malpighiales; Euphorbiaceae. The record is from RNAcentral.